UAAAAUUUACUUGUUGUGGGGCUCGAGGAAUCCAUACGGCCAACGAGAGUACAAAUGUAUCCAGUCCGUCUUCGUUUGCCAAGGUUCCAGUGGAUUUCGCCAUCGUGUCCAGUACCUGGCAUACCUCAACAUAUCGUCAACAUGGCGCAAGAUUGAGGUCGACCUUGACUACAACGUGACUGGAGUAGACGGGAAAGCCAUAACUGAGGUCGCCUCUUGGG
Molecule: long non-coding RNA, 221 nt
Organism: Dermacentor silvarum
Lineage: Eukaryota; Metazoa; Arthropoda; Arachnida; Ixodida; Ixodidae
Exons: 3
Source: RefSeq, a predicted model, not a curated record